AGCGGCGGACGGGUGAGUAACGCGUGGGUAACCUGCCCUAUGCACACGGAUAACAUAUCGAAAGGUAUGCUAAUACGAGAUAAUACAUUUUUAAGGCAUCUUAGAAAUGUCAAAGAUUUAUCGGUAUAGGAUGGACCCGCGUCCCAUUAGCUAGUUGGUGAGGUAAAAGCUCACCAAGGCGACGAUGGGUAGCCGACCUGAGAGGGUGAUCGGCCACACUGGAACUGAGACACGGUCCAGACUCCUACGGGAGGCAGCAGUGGGGAAUAUUGCACAAUGGGGGAAACCCUGAUGCAGCAACGCCGCGUGAGCGAUGAAGGCCUUCGGGUCGUAAAGCUCUGUCCUAAGGGAAGAUAAUGACGGUACCUUAGGAGGAAGCCCCGGCUAACUACGUGCCAGCAGCCGCGGUAAUACGUAGGGGGCAAGCGUUAUCCGGAAUUACUGGGCGUAAAGGGUGCGUAGGCGGCCUUGUAAGUCAGAAGUGAAAGGCUACGGCUCAACCGUAGUAAGCUUUUGAAACUGCAGGGCUUGAGUGCAGGAGAGGAGAGUAGAAUUCCUAGUGUAGCGGUGAAAUGCGUAGAUAUUAGGAGGAAUACCAGUUGCGAAGGCGGCUCUCUGGACUGUAACUGA
Molecule: ribosomal RNA, 630 nt
Filed under: uncultured bacterium
Lineage: Bacteria
Description: bacterial SSU rRNA
Rfam family: Bacterial small subunit ribosomal RNA
Source: RNAcentral